This 429-nucleotide ribosomal RNA is filed under the name Bacteroidota bacterium. RNAcentral's name for it is "Bacteroidetes bacterium partial 16S ribosomal RNA". It matches the Rfam family "Bacterial small subunit ribosomal RNA", at positions 355 to 776 of the family's 1533-position model. Lineage: Bacteria; Pseudomonadati; Bacteroidota. The record is from RNAcentral.
UAGGGAAUCUUCGGCAAUGGGGGGAACCCUGACCGAGCAACGCCGCGUGAGUGAAGAAGGUUUUCGGAUCGUAAAGCUCUGUUGUUAAGGAAGAACGAGUGUGAGAAUGGAAAGUUCAUACUGUGACGGUACUUAACCAGAAAGGGACGGCUAACUACGUGCCAGCCGCCGCGGUAAUACGUAGGUCCCGAGCGUUGUCCGGAUUUAUUGGGCGUAAAGCGAGCGCAGGCGGUUAGAUAAGUCUGAAGUUAAAGGCAGUGGCUCAACCAUUGUAGGCUUUGGAAACUGUUUAACUUGAGUGCAGAAGGGGAGAGUGGAAUUCCAUGUGUAGCGGUGAAAUGCGUAGAUAUAUGGAGGAACACCGGUGGCGAAAGCGGCUCUCUGGUCUGUAACUGACGCUGAGGCUCGAAAGCGUGGGGAGCGAACAGG